RNAcentral lists this ribosomal RNA (135 nucleotides) under Ditylenchus dipsaci. Its description in RNAcentral is "partial 18S ribosomal RNA". It matches the Rfam family "Eukaryotic small subunit ribosomal RNA", at positions 1699 to 1831 of the family's 1831-position model. The record is from RNAcentral. Lineage: Eukaryota; Metazoa; Nematoda; Chromadorea; Rhabditida; Anguinidae.
UCGAGAAAUUCGGGGAUUGCCGAUUAGCGGUCUUUCGGGAUUGCUUUUUGGUGAGAACCAACUUAAUCGCAGUGGCUUGAACCGGGCAAAAGUCGUAACAAGGUGGCUGUAGGUGAACCUGCUGCCGGAUCAUUA